GACGAACGCUGGCGGCGUGCCUAACACAUGCAAGUCGAGCGAGUGAAUCUCCUUCGGGAGUGAAGCUAGCGGCGGACGGGUGAGUAACACGUGGGCAACCUGCCUCAUAGAGGGGCAGAGCCUUUCGAAAGGAAGAUUAAUACCGCAUAAGAUUGUAGCUUCGCAGUAAGUAGCAAUUAAAGGAGCAAUCCGCUAUGAGAUGGGCCCGCGGCGCAUUAGCUAGUUGGUGGGGUAACGGCUCACAAAGGCGACGAUUCGUAGCCGACCUGAGAGGGUGAUCGGCCACAUUGGGACUGGGACACGGCCCAGACUCCUACGGGAGGCAGCAGUGGGGAAUAUUGCACAAUGGGGGAAACCCUGAUGCAGCAACGCCGCGUGAGUGAUGACGGUCUUCGGGUUGUAAAGCUCUGUCUUCAGGGACGAUAAUGACGGUACCUGAGGAGGAAGCCACGGCUAACUACGUGCCAGCAGCCGCCGUAA
This 480-nucleotide ribosomal RNA is filed under the name uncultured bacterium. RNAcentral describes it as "partial 16S ribosomal RNA". It matches the Rfam family "Bacterial small subunit ribosomal RNA", at positions 28 to 523 of the family's 1533-position model. The record is from RNAcentral.